CUCAGUGGAAAAGUUAUUCUCCAACACCAUCCAUCCAUGAUGAGCCUGUCCUGCACUGAACCCUCUGAACACCUCAACCCCUGUCCUGCACUGAACCCUCUGAACACCUCAACCCCUGUCCUGAACUGAAGUCAAGCCUCUGAACCCCUCAACUCAUUUCAUCACUGCUGCGGUCCCUUCCCAACAGUGUCCCCCGUCCACCACAAUGUCUGUAGUGGAGCUGUAGCCCCCCCCUUCCUAAUCCCCCACUACCAAGGCCUCCUCUCUUCUCCUCUCCCAUCCCCCUCUUUCCUCACCAGAACUCCUCAUCAUCCAACGAAGACCCCGAGGAAAUAGACUCCCUCCUUCUACAUCUAACACACAGCAUCAGUGUGUGGGUGUAUGUCUAUUGCUCUUUGUAGCAUGUGCAGUAUGUCAUUCAACUCUUACCCUCUGUGUCCAGUAAUUAGAAACCAGUGUUUUGAAGGAGAAGCAUGCUCCUUUCCAAUAAUGAUAACAGAGACGCGCUGAAGGAUUACAGACUUGGGCUGAAGAAGCACAGUCCUGGAUCACUAUGUGUCUCUCUGACUCCAGUUAUUAUUCAUGUGUGUAGCCUAAGUCUUGCCAGGGCUACCAGUGAC
This 620-nucleotide long non-coding RNA is filed under the name Salmo salar (Atlantic salmon). RNAcentral describes it as "lncRNA (ENSSSAG00000092880.1)". The record is from RNAcentral. Lineage: Eukaryota; Metazoa; Chordata; Actinopteri; Salmoniformes; Salmonidae.